UAAGGAAUAUUGGUCAAUGGACGCAAGUCUGAACCAGCCAUGCCGCGUGGAGGAUGAAGGUCCUCUGGAUUGUAAACUUCUUUUAUAUGGGACGAAAAAGGGUCUUUCUAGAUCAACUGACGGUACCAUGUGAAUAAGCACCGGCUAACUCCGUGCCAGCAGCCGCGGUAAUACGGAGGGUGCAAGCGUUAUCCGGAUUCACUGGGUUUAAAGGGUGCGUAGGUGGGUUGGUAAGUCAGUGGUGAAAUCUCCGGGCUUAACUCGGAAACUGCCAUUGAUACUAUCAAUCUUGAAUAUUGUGGAGGUCAGCGGAAUAUGUCAUGUAGCGGUGAAAUGCUUAGAGAUGACAUAGAACACCAAUUGCGAAGGCAGCUGGCUACGCAUAUAUUGACACUGAGGCACGAAAGCGUGGGGAUCAAACAGGAUUAGAUACCCCCGUAGUCC
This 444-nucleotide ribosomal RNA is filed under the name uncultured bacterium. RNAcentral describes it as "bacterial SSU rRNA". It matches the Rfam family "Bacterial small subunit ribosomal RNA", at positions 355 to 796 of the family's 1533-position model. The record is from RNAcentral.